RNAcentral lists this ribosomal RNA (747 nucleotides) under Triticum aestivum (bread wheat). RNAcentral's name for it is "partial small subunit ribosomal RNA". Lineage: Eukaryota; Viridiplantae; Streptophyta; Magnoliopsida; Poales; Poaceae. The record is from RNAcentral.
AUGGAUUGCUACCCUUGCAACCCGCUCCCCCACCUACCUCCUGGCACCACCAUCAUCGUCCCUGGUCCACUCCAUGCUCGUCGAGGCUACGUGGUACUGGGUGGUGAGCUUCCCGUGGUCCGCGCUGGGUGGGCCAUCGCCACUCUGACUCCGGAUGUUUCUGCUGAAGAGUUUCACGAUGCCAUUGCCUUGGUCUCCAACUUCCUUGAAGGCCCUGGAUGGCAUAUUAACUACACAUCCACAUGUGGUAUGGCUACUGCUCUAAUCCAGUUUACUAUUGCUUGCUCCCGCGAUACAGCUGUUAGCAAUAGUCCUUAUCAGAUUUGGGAUUCAGUGUUGAGGAUCACUAGGCAAGAUAGAGGUGUCAACUAUCGCAGCAUUACGUUCACUCAUGAUGUAUGGAUUAUGCUGAUGAAUUACCCUCUGGAGUGUUGGGAUGUUGGAGUUGUUAGUCAUACUAUUUCCCCCUAUGGCAGAUUCCUGAUUUGGAAUAAAGAUCCGAGAGAUAAAACCAGGAUAAUCGUUAAAGUCAGGGUUAUGAAUGUUGAUACACUCCCCAUUAGCAUUGUUGUUCUCCAUAACUUAGAUGAUGUGGGGUACGGGGAUUCGUGGACUUGUCGAACCUAUAUCCUCUCGUGCGAACUGAUUGGCCAACAUGGUGGAGAUGAAGAUCCUCUCCGACCUAAUGGAGGGAACCCUCACCCCUCCCUCAUGUGCAUGGUGGUUUUUGGCACGAUGAAGUGCUAG